This is a small nuclear RNA of Papaver somniferum (opium poppy), 104 nucleotides long. NCBI's taxonomy places the organism in Eukaryota, Viridiplantae, Streptophyta, Magnoliopsida, Ranunculales, Papaveraceae. The record is from RefSeq and is a predicted model, not a curated record.
GCCCUUCCAGGACAUCUGAUAAAAUUGGAACGAUACGAGAAGAUUAGCAUGGCCACUGCCCAAGGAUGAAAUGCACAAAUCGUCGAGAAAUGGUCCAAAUUUUU